Bos grunniens (domestic yak) is the source of this 1806-nucleotide long non-coding RNA. The record is from Ensembl. NCBI's taxonomy places the organism in Eukaryota, Metazoa, Chordata, Mammalia, Artiodactyla, Bovidae.
GGCAUCAGAAUGCCCAUUCAUGAGCUGGGGUCUCUGAGGCUCAGAACCCAGAAAUGCAGGUAGCCAGUGGCUGUCAGGACCUGAGUCUACCGUCACCGACUUGUGACUCCCGAUGGUGUGACAAGAGCAGGGUCCCUCUGCCUCAGGAGGGCCCCCUCCUGCUCGAGGCGGUGAUGCCUCUCAAAUUCCCCAGCAUGCUGACUUCCUUCUCCUCUCUCUCUAGGUUCUCUACUGGACCGGGUUGGUGGCCUGAAUGUAUUAGCUUCGCUGCUUCUGCCCAAGAGGUCCACCUCGAAGCUGUACUAGGCCAGCGCUAGAGACAGACGGUGUUUAGAAUGUCUUUCUCCUGGUCCCCCCACCCCAGCGGCCUGAGAGGAGAAAACAGCCUCUUGCUCACCUCAGCCUCCUCUUCCCUCUGAAGAAACUGCUUCCACCUGCCCCCCACCCCAUCUAGGUUUCCCCUGACAGGGCGGGAAGGGAGGGGUGUCUCCCUAGACAGGAAGCGGAGAAGAGUGGGGGCUCCAUCUAACGGGACAGCGCUGAGAACCCUGGGCUGUGCCUCCCUUCCGGAUCCAGCCCUGCCUCUGUCUCCUUUCCCGGCCUCAGUUUCCCCCCCAGCCCCAAGCUGGCUCUGGGAUCCACAGGGGUUGGUGCUGCGGGGAGGCAGGGCCACCCGGAGAGUGAGACCAAGGCCGGAGGGGCGCCUGCCGCCCCGCCCUCCGCCAGGAGGGCCUGGGUCCCAGGUGCGGCCCCCUAGCCUCCAGCUCCCCGGGGCUCUGGCUCUUUGUCUGUCCAGACCCUCCUCCCCUCCCAGCCCAGCCUCCCGGAGAGGUUGAGGAAUCACCUUAGCCUUGACCCGAGGGGGAGGGCAGUGGAGGGGCAGGCAGGCCCCACCCCGCCUCCUGCCCACGGCCAUCCCCACAGCCUCCUUCCUGCUUCCCCGAGUUCCAGGCUGCCGCCCCCCCAAGCGACAGGCCGCUGCUCCCUUUGUUAGGGAGGGGGAGGGGAGAGAGCUGAGCUGAGGGGACGUGGCUUGACCCUCGACCUCUCCCCUUCCCUCCUCCCAUCAGGGUCCCCAGGGGCUCAGAGCCCCCUUGACGGACAGUUCUGACCAUCAGCCAAAUGGCUCUGGGAGUGAGCAGGGAGCCAGGUAGGGGGGAGGGGAGGAAGGCCUGGCUUGGGCCCUGAGCCCCCCAGAGGGGGGUGUCAUGUCAUGGGUUGGGGGGAGGCCCUUAGGACGAGGGGCAGGGGACGACGGGCACCCAUAUCUUGAGGGGAGCCUGAUUUGACUAAGGGCUGUGGAAGCAAAGCGAGGCUCAGCCCAGAGACAGCAGCUCUGGACACCCUAUGGGUAGGGGCCUAGCUGGGCAGAUGCCCCCACCCCACCCCCACCUGGCCUGGGGCUUUGGGAGUGCAGCAAGGUUUUUUUUAAAAAAAAAAUUAAAAGAAAAAAAAAUAACAGGAGCAAGAGAAGCUGGGGGAAAAAAUAUAUAAGAAAAAAUAUAAUAAGAACUAAGCGGUGGCUGCAGGAGAGAGAAAGGGCAGGAGGCGGGGAGGGGGGCGCAGGGGGGAGGGCGGCUCGGGCCCUGGUCGCUGCGGAGGCCCGGCCGCCGGCCUCCGCGCCGAGCCCUCCGCGUCCCCCCUGCCGGCCCCCUCCAGCCCCGAUCGAUCCAGUUUCUUGGCAAUAAAGCAUUUUUAUUGUCAGCUGCCCUGAAUGCCAAAUGUGAGCCUGGUCCUGCUCCCCCCUCAACCCGCUUCCUCGCCACCCCUCCCCCAGCCCUCCUCCACCCCCUCUCCUGCCGGCCC